CAUUAGAUAGCUUAAAGUAAGUUUUGGAAUUUUAAACCAAUCUAUAGUAUCUAACGUCUACUUCUAAUGA
This 70-nucleotide transfer RNA is filed under the name Moechotypa diphysis. RNAcentral's name for it is "tRNA-Lys". The record is from RNAcentral. Lineage: Eukaryota; Metazoa; Arthropoda; Insecta; Coleoptera; Cerambycidae.